GGUAUGUGAUCCUUCAAACACGCAUCCCCCAAACAGAUGGUUGGUGCAGAGUUGGGUGAGGGACAGUCCUCAAAAGACCCAGCAUCCCUGGGAAGACUGCCUUGGGAAACCCCCACAUCAGUUGCCUUGACAUGACUGGAAGAAAUGGAACAGAGGUGUCGAUGGGCUUCCUUGUUUGUGGUAUUCAUGGAAAACAACAUUGCUUCACUUGUCUGCUGGAGCAGGACUGCACAGAGUAGCUCUCAGCAUGACAUGGAAGGAGAUAAAUC
Molecule: long non-coding RNA, 269 nt
Organism: Rhineura floridana
Lineage: Eukaryota; Metazoa; Chordata; Lepidosauria; Squamata; Rhineuridae
Exons: 3
Source: RefSeq, a predicted model, not a curated record